RNAcentral lists this ribosomal RNA (483 nucleotides) under uncultured bacterium. Its description in RNAcentral is "partial 16S ribosomal RNA". It matches the Rfam family "Bacterial small subunit ribosomal RNA", at positions 28 to 506 of the family's 1533-position model. The record is from RNAcentral.
AUUGAACGCUGGCGGCAUGCUUUACACAUGCAAGUCGAACGGCAGCGCGGGCUUCGGCCUGGCGGCGAGUGGCGAACGGGUGAGUAAUGCAUCGGAACGUGCCCAGUAGUGGGGGAUAGCCCGGCGAAAGCCGGAUUAAUACCGCAUACGACCUGAGGGUGAAAGCGGGGGACCGAAAGGCCUCGCGCUAUUGGAGCGGCCGAUGUCGGAUUAGCUAGUUGGUGGGGUAAAGGCUUACCAAGGCGACGAUCCGUAGCUGGUCUGAGAGGACGACCAGCCACCCUGGGAUUGAGACACGGCCCAGACCCCUACGGGAGGCAGGAGGGGGGAAUUUGGGAAAAUGGGGGCAACCCUGACCCAGCCAUGCCGGGGGCGGGAAGAAGGCCUUCGGGUUGUAAACCGCUUUUGUUCGGGAAGAAAUCCUCUGGGCUAAUACCCCGGGGGGAUGACGGUACCGGAAGAAUAAGCACCGGCUAACUACGG